Molecule: ribosomal RNA, 379 nt
Filed under: uncultured bacterium
Lineage: Bacteria
Description: bacterial SSU rRNA
Rfam family: Bacterial small subunit ribosomal RNA
Source: RNAcentral
GACGAACGCUGGCGGCGUGCUUAACACAUGCAAGUCGAGCGAGGCCCUCUCUUCGGAGGGGUGUUCUAGCGGCGAACGGGUGAGUAACACGUGGGCAACCUGCCCUCAGCUCUGGGAUAACUCCAAGAAAUUGGGGCUAAUACCGGAUAUGACUGCUGACCGCAUGGUCUGGUGGUGGAAAGAUUUAUCGGCUGGGGAUGGGCCCGCGGCCUAUCAGCUUGUUGGGGGGUAGUGGCCUACCAAGGCGACGACGGGUAGCCGGCCUGAGAGGGUGACCGGCCACACUGGGACUGAGACACGGCCCAGACUCCUACGGGAGGCAGCAGUGGGGAAUAUUGCGCAAUGGGCGGAAGCCUGACGCAGCGACGCCGCGUGGGGA